GUACUGCUGACGAGUCCCAAAUAGGACAAAACUGCUGUCCAGUGC
Molecule: non-coding RNA, 45 nt
Filed under: Echinostoma caproni
Lineage: Eukaryota; Metazoa; Platyhelminthes; Trematoda; Plagiorchiida; Echinostomatidae
Source: RNAcentral